This 200-nucleotide ribosomal RNA is filed under the name uncultured prokaryote. Its description in RNAcentral is "partial 16S ribosomal RNA". It matches the Rfam family "Bacterial small subunit ribosomal RNA", at positions 1182 to 1382 of the family's 1533-position model. The record is from RNAcentral.
ACGUCAAAUCAUCAUGCCCUUUAUGUCCCGGGCUACACACGUACUACAAUGGCUGUUACAAAGGGCAGCGAAUGCGUAAGCAUAAGCGAAUCUCAAAAAACAGUCCCAGUUCGGAUUGUGGGCUGCAACCCGCCCACAUGAAGUCGGAAUUGCUAGUAAUUGCAAGUCAGCAUAUUGCAGUGAAUACGUUCCCGGGCCUU